GUUCGCUUUUAUACAGGAAGGUUCAAAUUGUUUAUGUGUUUGUUCUUGUAGUUUCUAAAAGGGAUUAGUCUAAGAUGCAUGAUUAUUUUUUUUAGUUGUAAGUGACUUUGAACUAGCUGUCAGUAACUGCGAGAACUCUCAGAUCUGUACUUAGUGUAUUUUUGUUGUUGGGAUAUACAAGUACCCGGCCACGUCAACUCUGUGUUUUUGUUAUAUGUAUUUCUAUUUGUAUUCAUCUGAAAAGUUAAG
This 249-nucleotide long non-coding RNA is filed under the name Mytilus galloprovincialis (Mediterranean mussel). Lineage: Eukaryota; Metazoa; Mollusca; Bivalvia; Mytilida; Mytilidae. The record is from RNAcentral.